CUACAACUAUUGUACCUUUCUUUGGCGACCAACCAUUCUGGGGUGAGCGGGUGCAUGCUAGAGGGGUAGGGCCUUCGCCUAUACCGGUUGAUCAAUUCACUUUGCAGAAGUUGGUUGAUGCUAUAAAAUUCAUGUUGGAUCCAGAGGUGAAAGAAAAGGCUGUGGAGCUUGCCAAGGCCAUGGAAUCUGAAGACGGCGUAACGGGUGCAGUCAGGGCAUUCCGCAAACACCUGCCCUGUAAAACAGAUGAAAACUCACCCCCACCAACGCACGGCUUUCUAGAGUUCCUAGGCCCAGUAAGUAAAUGUUUGGGGUGCUCUUAGGUGCUGGUCAGAUGCAGGUAUACCAUUCCUCCCUGCUGAACGGAGAGUGUAACAAAAGGCUCUUGGGUGACGCACUAUGCUAUUUCGUGCGAUAAGAAUGUGGAAGCCGAAUGUUAGAAGUUGAUGUACUUGCAUGCGACCAGGAGCCCGCGAUUUAUGGUUCUGCGUUUUUUUGUAUGUGUGUUGUGUAAAGAGUAUUUGUCUGGUGAUUUUAAUACAUCAUUUUGGUGUGGUUGCAACCUUGGCCUGCAGGAACAGAUGAUCCCUCAUGUAUGACCAGGCAACCUGUGUAUAUGGAAAACUUCAGAGUGCAGAUUAGUUCAG
Triticum aestivum (bread wheat) is the source of this 647-nucleotide long non-coding RNA. RefSeq lists it as uncharacterized. The record is from RefSeq and is a predicted model, not a curated record. The transcript has 2 exons. Lineage: Eukaryota; Viridiplantae; Streptophyta; Magnoliopsida; Poales; Poaceae.